AUUGAACGCUGGCGGCAUGCUUUACACAUGCAAGUCGAACGGCAGCGCGGGCUUCGGCCUGGCGGCGAGUGGCGAACGGGUGAGUAAUACAUCGGAACGUGCCCAGUAGUGGGGGAUAGCUCGGCGAAAGCCGGAUUAAUACCGCAUACGACCUGAGGGUGAAAGCGGGGGAUCUUCGGACCUCGCGCUAUUGGAGCGGCCGAUGGCAGAUUAGCUAGUUGGUGGGGUAAAGGCCUACCAAGGCGACGAUCUGUAGCUGGUCUGAGAGGACGACCAGCCACACUGGAACUGAGACACGGCCCAGACUCCUACGGGAGGCAGCAGUGGGGAAUUUUAGACAAUGGGCGAAAGCCUGAUCCAGCAAUGCCGCGUGUGUGAUGAAGGCCUUCGGGUUGUAAAGCACUUUUGGCGGGAACGAAAAGGACUGUGCCAAUACCACGGUUCGAUGACGGUACCCGCAGAAUAAGCACCGGCUAACUACGUG
This 484-nucleotide ribosomal RNA is filed under the name uncultured bacterium. RNAcentral describes it as "partial 16S ribosomal RNA". It matches the Rfam family "Bacterial small subunit ribosomal RNA", at positions 29 to 507 of the family's 1533-position model. The record is from RNAcentral.